GCCUGGGUGGCUCAGUUGGCUGAGCAUCUGACUUCAGGUCAGGUCAUGAUCUCGUGGUUUGUGGGUUUGAGCCCUGCAUCGGGCU
RNAcentral lists this transfer RNA (85 nucleotides) under Felis catus (domestic cat). It matches the Rfam family "tRNA". From Rfam's summary of the family: Transfer RNA (tRNA) molecules are approximately 80 nucleotides in length. The record is from Rfam by way of RNAcentral. Lineage: Eukaryota; Metazoa; Chordata; Mammalia; Carnivora; Felidae. RNAcentral also lists the same sequence under 6 other names.